GACGAACGCUGGCGGCGCGCCUAACACAUGCAAGUCGAACGGAGCUGAGGGAAGCUUGCUUCUCUUAGCUUAGUGGCGAACGGGUGAGUAACGCGUGAGUAACCUGCCCUGGAGUGGGGGACAACAGCUGGAAACGACUGCUAAUACCGCAUAAGCCCACGAUCCGGCAUCGGCUUGAGGGAAAAGGAUUUAUUCGCUUCAGGAUGGACUCGCGUCCACUUAGCUAGUUGGUGAGGUAACGGCCCACCAAGCAGACGAUUGGUAGCCGGACUGAGAGGUUGAGCGGCCACAUUGGGGCUGAGACACGGCCCGGACUCCUACGGGAGGCAGCAGUGGGGGAUAUUGCACAAUGGGGUGAACCCUGAUGCAGCGACGCCGCGUGGAGGAAGAAGGUAUUCGGAUUGUAAACUCCUGUCGUUAGGGACGAUAAUGACGGUACCUAACAAGAAAGCACCGGCUAACUACGUG
Molecule: ribosomal RNA, 468 nt
Filed under: uncultured bacterium
Lineage: Bacteria
Description: partial 16S ribosomal RNA
Rfam family: Bacterial small subunit ribosomal RNA
Source: RNAcentral